RNAcentral lists this ribosomal RNA (429 nucleotides) under Gemmatimonadota bacterium. RNAcentral's name for it is "Gemmatimonadetes bacterium partial 16S ribosomal RNA". It matches the Rfam family "Bacterial small subunit ribosomal RNA", at positions 355 to 776 of the family's 1533-position model. The record is from RNAcentral. Lineage: Bacteria; Pseudomonadati; Gemmatimonadota.
UAGGGAAUCUUGGGCAAUGGACGAAAGUCUGACCGAGCAACGCCGCGUGAGUGAAGAAGGUUUUCGGAUCGUAAAACUCUGUUGGUAGAGAAGAACAAGGACGUUAGUAACUGAACGUCCCCGGACGGUAUCGAACCAGAAAGCCACGGCUAACUACGUGCCAGCAGCCGCGGUAAUACGUAGGGGGCAAGCGUUGUCCGGAUUUAUUGGGCGUAAAGCGAGCGCAGGCGGUUGCUUAAGUCUGAUGUGAAAGCCCCCGGCUCAACCGGGGAGGGUCAUUUGAAACUGGGAGACUUGAGUGCAGAAGAGGAGAGUGGAAUUCCAUGUGUAGCGGUGAAAUGCGUAGAUAUAUGGAGGAACACCAGUGGCGAAGGCGGCUCUCUGGUCUGUAACUGACGCUGAGGCUCGAAAGCGUGGGGAGCAAACAGG